This 376-nucleotide ribosomal RNA is filed under the name Pirellulales bacterium. Its description in RNAcentral is "partial 23S ribosomal RNA". It matches the Rfam family "Bacterial large subunit ribosomal RNA", at positions 705 to 1207 of the family's 2925-position model. The record is from RNAcentral. Lineage: Bacteria; Pseudomonadati; Planctomycetota; Planctomycetia; Pirellulales.
UCACCAAUACCCGAAACCAGACGAUCUAGUUAUGAGAAUUAAAUAGAAAAAAUCAGUGAAUGUUGAAAAAUCCUUGAAAUACUUGUAAUUAGCAGCGAAAAACUAAUCGAGUUUGGAUAUAGCUGGUUUUCUAAGAAAACUAUAUAAGUAGUACUUAUUAAAUUAAAGCCAGACUUCAAAGGAAAAUCUUUUUAGUCAAAAGGAAAAAAAUCCUAAUCAGAAACUAACAGGCAAAAUAGAUUAACAAAACCUAUUAAAUAAUAAAAACAACAAAAGAAUAGGAACAGAAACAUCCACAUCCCAAAAAGUACGUAAUAGUAAAUUUGACAAACUAAUUUAAAAAUCAAUUAAGCUAAAAAAUCUGAAAGUUCUGAGA